Molecule: ribosomal RNA, 563 nt
Filed under: Hanseniaspora uvarum
Lineage: Eukaryota; Fungi; Ascomycota; Saccharomycetes; Saccharomycodales; Saccharomycodaceae
Description: partial large subunit ribosomal RNA
Rfam family: Eukaryotic large subunit ribosomal RNA
Source: RNAcentral
GGGGGAUUCCUUAGUACGGCGAGUGAAGCGGUAAAAGCUCAAAUUUGAAAUCUGGUACUUUCAGUGCCCGAGUUGUAAUUUGUAGAAUUUGUCUUUGAUUAGGUCCUUGUCUAUGUUCCUUGGAACAGGACGUCAUAGAGGGUGAGAAUCCCGUUUGGCGAGGAUACCUUUUCUCUGUAAGACUUUUUCGAAGAGUCGAGUUGUUUGGGAAUGCAGCUCAAAGUGGGUGGUAAAUUCCAUCUAAAGCUAAAUAUUGGCGAGAGACCGAUAGCGAACAAGUACAGUGAUGGAAAGAUGAAAAGAACUUUGAAAAGAGAGUGAAAAAGUACGUGAAAUUGUUGAAAGGGAAGGGCAUUUGAUCAGACAUGGUGUUUUUUGCAUGCACUCGCCUCUCGUGGGCUUGGGCCUCUCAAAAAUUUCACUGGGCCAACAUCAAUUCUGGCAGCAGGAUAAAUCAUUAAGAAUGUAGCUACUUCGGUAGUGUUAUAGCUUUUUGGAAUACUGUUAGCCGGGAUUGAGGACUGCGCUUCGGCAAGGAUGUUGGCAUAAUGGUUAAAUGCCGC